This 280-nucleotide ribosomal RNA is filed under the name uncultured bacterium. Its description in RNAcentral is "partial 16S ribosomal RNA". It matches the Rfam family "Bacterial small subunit ribosomal RNA", at positions 524 to 796 of the family's 1533-position model. The record is from RNAcentral.
UACGUAGAGUGCAAGCGUUGUCCGGAAUUAUUGGGCGUAAAGGGUACGUAGGCGGAUAGUAAAGUCAAGCGUGAAAGGUGUCGGCUUAACCGACAGACUGCGUUUGAAACUGAUUAUCUUGAGUGUAACAGAGGAGAGUGGAAUUCCUAGUGGUAGUGGUGAAAUACGUAGAUAUUAGGAAGAACACCAGUGGCGAAGGGCGAACUCGUCCUGGGUUAACACUGACGCUGAGGUACGAAAGCUGGGGGGAGCGAACGGGAUUAGAUACCCCCGUACGUCC